Molecule: ribosomal RNA, 377 nt
Filed under: uncultured bacterium
Lineage: Bacteria
Description: bacterial SSU rRNA
Rfam family: Bacterial small subunit ribosomal RNA
Source: RNAcentral
UAAGACAGAGGGGGCAAGCGUUGCUCGGAAUUACUGGGCGUAAAGGGCGCGUAGGCGGGAUGGCAAGUCGGUCGUGAAAGCCUUCGGCUCAACCGAAGAACGUCGGCCGAUACUGCCGUUCUUGAGGGAUGCAGAGGAGACUGGAAUUCCCGGUGUAGCGGUGAAAUGUGUAGAGAUCGGGAGGAACACCGGUGGCGAAGGCGGGUCUCUGGGCAUCUCCUGACGCUGAGGCGCGAAAGCGUGGGGAGCAAACGGGAUUAGAUACCCCGGUAGUCCACGCCGUAAACGAUGACGACUAGGUGUGGGGUGGUUCAGUCCACUCCGUGCCGCAGCUAACGCAUUAAGUCGUCCGCCUGGGGAGUACGGCCGCAAGGUUG